Ictidomys tridecemlineatus (thirteen-lined ground squirrel) is the source of this 1124-nucleotide non-coding RNA. The record is from RefSeq and is a predicted model, not a curated record. NCBI's taxonomy places the organism in Eukaryota, Metazoa, Chordata, Mammalia, Rodentia, Sciuridae.
ACAAAACCAGGUCCCUAAAGCUUUACUGCAAUAUGUAGUCUUUAUAGAAAUAAUUUUCCAAAACCUAGUGAAGUUGAGAAUGAAAUGUGCCAUGACAAAGCACACAACUCCUGGCCACCAACCCUGCCAGUCCUUCACAACACUCCCAGGAAGAUGUUCAACAUAGCUGUGUUCACAAGAGCUAGGAUUUGGAGGUACAUGGCUACUUCGUUUUGAGGGUCACCCCAAAGUGUGGAGAAGUAAGAAACAGAAUAACAACGAAAAAAAAAUGUUUAAGUUGGCUCCAUCUCAAAUUCUUCAGGGUGUUGUGUUUGACUAGGUAAAAAGGAUGACCUGAGAUCACUUCAAGAGAAUACUUUAUUCCUCCUCAUUGCCUUAGCAUUUAUAAUGUACAGAAACAUUUCAUUCUAAAGCACAAGAGAUGACUGAGGAGAGAUGGCAAUGAUACUUGGAGCCAAAACUACAAGGACAGUGCCUCUUGCCCAUACUCCUACAUAAGUAUUCCCUUGUUUGUGGGUCCUUCCACUCUAGCUACCCCACUUCCUGGAGCUAUUCCUAGAGGUGCCCAUGAGAAUGUCUGGAUCUACCCAGAGUGAAGUCAUCCUACUCCCCCUGCAGAGCUGCUCCCAGGAGAACACAAGCACUCCUUGAGGACAUUAGCAAAGAGCUGCUGAAAUCACAAGGGUCACAGUGGACUCCGUUCUUGGCUUCUGUGCAUGCUGUUCCUAUUGCUUGGCAUGUCAAGCUGUCCACUGCCCUUUUCUGACAAACAACUCAUUCUCCAAGACUCAAAUCAGACAUCCCUUCUCAACAAAAUUCUCCCCAGUUCUUCUCAUAAAACAUCCUUCAUUAUCUAUUAUGGUGCUAAAUUUUCAUGAUGCAUGAGCAGUGCCUGUUAUGUGUCUAUCUUGACCAGCAGACCAGCUAUUCUGUUUGAAGACAACAACAUAUAAAACAAUGCAGAGAGCAAGUCAUAAGAGAGAAUGAUGAAAGGGCAAAGUGCUAGGAGCCCCGGGGCACCAAAUCCCAGGGAUUUGCACUCAUCCAUCCUAGGUGCUGUCCUUGGCUGUCUAGUCUCUGACUGAAGUAAUUUUAAGGAAGGAUUAAAAAAAAAAAAGUCAAGA